CAGCAGUAGCCGCGGGAAUACCGAGGGUGCGAGCGUUAAUCGGAUUUACUGGGCGUAAAGCGUGCGUAGGCGGCUUUUUAAGUCGGAUGUGAAAUCCCUGAGCUUAACUUAGGAAUUGCAUUCGAUACUAGGAAGCUAGAGUAUGGGAGAGGAUGGUAGAAUUCCAGGUGUAGCGGUGAAAUGCGUAGAGAUCUGGAGGAAUACCGAUGGCGAAGGCAGCCAUCUGGCCUAAUACUGACGCUGAGGUACGAAAGCAUGGGGAGCAAACAGGAUUAGAUACCCCGGUAGUCCCUGUCUCUUAUAC
Molecule: ribosomal RNA, 304 nt
Filed under: uncultured bacterium
Lineage: Bacteria
Description: partial 16S ribosomal RNA
Rfam family: Bacterial small subunit ribosomal RNA
Source: RNAcentral